GACGAACGCUGGCGGCGUGCCUAAUACAUGUAAGUUCAGUGAUGAAGAUUGGUGCUUGCACCAAUUUUAAGAGCAGCGAACGGGUGAGUGACGCGGGGGGUAUCUGCCUUCGAGCGGGGGACAACACUUGGAAACGAAUGCUAAUACCGCACAACAACUUUAUACAUACGUUUUAAGUUUGAAAGAUGCAAUUGCACCACUCAAAGAUGAUCCCGCGUUGUAUUAGCUAGUUGGUGAGGUACAGGCUCACCAAGCCGAUUAUACAUAGCCGACCUGAGAGGGUGAUCGGCCACAUUGGGAAGGAGACACGGCCCAAACUCGUACGGGAGGCAGCAGUAGGGAACCUUCGGCGAGGGACGAAAGUCUGGCAGGGAAACGCCGCGUGAGUGAAGAAGGGUAUCGGAUCGGAAAACUCGGUUGGUAGAGAAGAACGUUGGUGAGAGUGGAAAGCAGACCAAGUGACGGUGACUAACCAGAAGGGGACGACUAGGAAGGUG
RNAcentral lists this ribosomal RNA (497 nucleotides) under uncultured bacterium. RNAcentral's name for it is "partial 16S ribosomal RNA". It matches the Rfam family "Bacterial small subunit ribosomal RNA", at positions 28 to 507 of the family's 1533-position model. The record is from RNAcentral.